CCAGACUCCUACGGGAGGCAGCAGUGAGGAAUAUUGGUCAAUGGGCGCGAGCCUGAACCAGCCAAGUCGCGUGAGGGAUGACGGUCCUACGGAUUGUAAACCUCUUUUGCCGGGGAGCAAGCGUGCGUUCGUGAACGCGCGUCGAGAGUACCCGGAGAAAAAGCAUCGGCUAACUCCGUGCCAGCAGCCGCGGUAAUACGGAGGAUGCGAGCGUUAUCCGGAAUUACUGGGUGUAAAGGGAGCGUAGACGGCGAGGUAAGCCUGAAGUGGAAGCCCGCGGCCCAACCGCGGAACUGCUUUGGGAACUGUUUUGCUGGAGUAUGGGAGGGGUAAGCGGAAUUCCUGGUGUAGCGGUGAAAUGCGUAGAUAUCAGGAGGAACACCGGUGGCGAAGGCGGCUUACUGGACCAUAACUGACGUUGAGGCUCGAAAGCGUGGGGAGCGAACAGGAUUAGAUACCCGAGUA
This 465-nucleotide ribosomal RNA is filed under the name uncultured bacterium. RNAcentral's name for it is "bacterial SSU rRNA". It matches the Rfam family "Bacterial small subunit ribosomal RNA", at positions 331 to 792 of the family's 1533-position model. The record is from RNAcentral.